Molecule: ribosomal RNA, 450 nt
Filed under: uncultured bacterium
Lineage: Bacteria
Description: partial 16S ribosomal RNA
Rfam family: Bacterial small subunit ribosomal RNA
Source: RNAcentral
GUGGGGAAUCUUCCGCAAUGGACGAAAGUCUGAUGGAGCAACGCCGCGUGAGUGAAGAAGGUUUUCGGAUCGUAAAGCUCUUUCGUUAGGGACGAACGUGCUCUUUGGGAAUAAUGAGGAGUAAUGACGGUACCUAAAUAAGAAGCCACGGCUAACUACGUGCCAGCAGCCGCGGUAAUCCGUAGGUGGCAAGCGUUGUCCGGAAUUAUUGGGCGUAAAGCGCGCGCAGGCGGGAUAUCAAGUCUGUCCGAAGAGUGCGAGGCUCAACCUCGUGAGGGGACAGAAACUGGUAUUCUUGAGUGUCGGAGAGGAAAGUGGAAUUCCAAGUGUAGCGGUGAAAUGCGUAGAGAUUUGGAAGAACACCAGUGGCGAAGGCGACUUUCUGGACGAUGUCUGACGCUGAGGCGCGAAAGCUAGGGGAGCGAACGGGAUUAGAUACCCGAGUAGUCC